Molecule: ribosomal RNA, 468 nt
Filed under: uncultured bacterium
Lineage: Bacteria
Description: partial 16S ribosomal RNA
Rfam family: Bacterial small subunit ribosomal RNA
Source: RNAcentral
GAUGAACGCUGGCGGCGUGCUUAACACAUGCAAGUCGAACGGUGAAGGCGGAGCUUGCUCUGCUGGAUCAGUGGCGAACGGGUGAGUAACACGUGAGCAAUCUGCCCCUGACUCUGGGAUAAGCGCUGGAAACGGCGUCUAAUACUGGAUACGAGCUGCGAAGGCAUCUUCAGCAGCUGGAAAGAAUUUCGGUCAGGGAUGAGCUCGCGGCCUAUCAGCUUGUUGGUGAGGUAAUGGCUCACCAAGGCGUCGACGGGUAGCCGGCCUGAGAGGGUGACCGGCCACACUGGGACUGAGACACGGCCCAGACUCCUACGGGAGGCAGCAGUGGGGAAUAUUGCACAAUGGGGGAAAGCCUGAUGCAGCAACGCCGCGUGAGGGACGACGGCCUUCGGGUUGUAAAACUCUUUUAGCAGGGAAGAAGCGAAAGUGACGGUACCUGCAGAAAAAGCGCCGGCUAACUACGUG